RNAcentral lists this ribosomal RNA (277 nucleotides) under uncultured bacterium. RNAcentral describes it as "partial 16S ribosomal RNA". It matches the Rfam family "Bacterial small subunit ribosomal RNA", at positions 334 to 603 of the family's 1533-position model. The record is from RNAcentral.
UGUCCCUACGGGGGGCAGCAGUAGGGAAUCUUCCACAAUGGGGGAAAGCCUGAUGGAGCAACGCCGCGUGGGUGAAGAAGGUCUUCGGAUCGUAAAACCCUGUCGUUAGAGAAGAAAGUGCGUGAGAGCAACUGCUCACGUUUCGACGGUAUCUAACCAGAAAGCCACGGCUAACUACGUGCCAGCAGCCGCGGUAAUACGUAGGUGGCAAGCGUUAUCCGGAUUUAUUGGGCGUAAAGAGAACGCAGGCGGUCUUUUAAGUCUGAUGUGAAAGCCU